GUUCACUCCUGCGGGAGGCAGCAGUGGGGAAUUUUGGACAAUGGGCGAAAGCCUGAUCCAGCAAUGCCGCGUGAGUGAAGAAGGCCUUCGGGUUGUAAAGCUCUUUUGUCAGGGAAGAAACGGUGAAAGCUAAUAUCUUUUGCUAAUGACGGUACCUGAAGAAUAAGCACCGGCUAACUACGUGCCAGCAGCCGCGGUAAUACGUAGGGUGCAAGCGUUAAUCGGAAUUACUGGGCGUAAAGCGUGCGCAGGCGGUUUUGUAAGUCUGAUGUGAAAUCCCCGGGCUCAACCUGGGAAUUGCAUUGGAGACUGCAAGGCUAGAAUCUGGCAGAGGGGGGUAGAAUUCCACGUGUAGCAGUGAAAUGCGUAGAUAUGUGGAGGAACACCGAUGGCGAAGGCAGCCCCCUGGGUCAAGAUUGACGCUCAUGCACGAAAGCGUGGGGAGCAAACAGGAUUAGAUACCCCGGUAGUCCCAUGA
Molecule: ribosomal RNA, 478 nt
Filed under: uncultured organism
Description: partial 16S ribosomal RNA
Rfam family: Bacterial small subunit ribosomal RNA
Source: RNAcentral